GAUGAACGCUGGCGGCGUGCCUAAUACAUGCAAGUCGAGCGAACAGACGAGGAGCUUGCUCCUCUGACGUUAGCGGCGGACGGGUGAGUAACACGUGGAUAACCUACCUAUAAGACUGGGAUAACUUCGGGAAACCGGAGCUAAUACCGGAUAAUAUAUUGAACCGCAUGGUUCAAUAGUGAAAGACGGUUUUGCUGUCACUUAUAGAUGGAUCCGCGCCGCAUUAGCUAGUUGGUAAGGUAACGGCUUACCAAGGCAACGAUGCGUAGCCGACCUGAGAGGGGGAACGGCCAAAAGGGAAAUGAGGAACGGGCCAAAACCCAAAGGGGGGCAGCAGGAGGGAAUCUUCCGAAAGGGGGGAAAGCAGGACGGGGAAACGCCGGGGGAGGGAAGAAGGGUUUCGGAUAGUAAAACUCUGUUAUUAGGGAAAAAAAAAUGUGUAAGUAACUAGGCACGUUUUGACGGUACCUAAUAAAAAAGCCACGGCUAAAUACGU
This 496-nucleotide ribosomal RNA is filed under the name uncultured bacterium. RNAcentral describes it as "partial 16S ribosomal RNA". It matches the Rfam family "Bacterial small subunit ribosomal RNA", at positions 28 to 506 of the family's 1533-position model. The record is from RNAcentral.